UACAGACCUGUAAUGAUUUGCGGUAAUGAUCGCAACUUUAAGAACAUCUAAGGGACUGAGUUCUCUAAUACAUUUUUCUCAAAAUUUUUGUUUUUCUUUGUUUUCGCUUUGAAAUUUCAAUUAAAACUAUGUGGGCUUUGUUUAUUGUAAGCUUACAGCUUUACACUAAGUUCAAUUAGUUAAUGCUGCUAUUAAUGAAGCCUAAAAAGUUGUUUCCCUCGCUAUCCAAGUCUGCAAUACAUGUUGCAUUUGGACGUCGGGAAACUACAUUUCUUCUUAUGUAUUUCUAC
Molecule: unclassified non-coding RNA, 290 nt
Filed under: Hevea brasiliensis (rubber tree)
Lineage: Eukaryota; Viridiplantae; Streptophyta; Magnoliopsida; Malpighiales; Euphorbiaceae
Rfam family: Small nucleolar RNA snoR136 (bases 132-272)
Source: RNAcentral